UGGCAGGUUGGCGGAGCCGCCGGGCGCCUCUCCCGCGCGCCCGACCGACCGCAGGGGGGAAUUCAGCACCGCGGAGAGCGGCUCGCCCGGGGCGCGGGGCGCCAUGCGGCUGCUGCUGCUGGCCGUGCUGGUCUGGUUCUCGGUGGCCCGCGCGGGCUGCGAGCCCAAGAUCAUCAACAUCGGCGCCGUGCUGAGCACCAAGAAGCACGAGCAGGUCUUCCGCGACGCCAUCAGCCAGGCCAACAAGCGGCACGGCACCUGGAAGAUCCAGCUGAACGCCACCUCCGUCACCCACAAGCCCAACGCCAUCCAGAUGGCUCUCUCCGUCUGCGAGGACCUCAUCUCCAGCCAGGUGUAUGCCAUCUUAGUGAGCCACCCACCAGCUCCAAAUGACCACUUGACACCAACACCGGUGUCAUACACAGCUGGGUUCUAUCGGAUUCCUGUCCUUGGGCUGACCACUCGCAUGUCCAUAUAUUCAGAUAAGAGUAUUCACCUGUCCUUCCUACGAACGGUGCCCCCCUACUCCCACCAGUCCAACGUUUGGUUCGAGAUGAUGCGCUUUUACAAGUGGAACCAUAUCAUCCUCAUUGUCAGCGAUGACCACGAAGGGCGAGCUGCCCAAAAGAAGCUGGAGACUCUCUUGGAAGAGAAGGAAUCCAAGAGUAAAAAAAGGAACUAUGACAGCCUCGAACAACUAUCCUAUGACAGCAAGCGAGGACCCAAGGCCGAGAAGGUGCUUCAGUUUGAACCAGGGACAAAAAAUGUGACUUCACUGCUGCUGGAAGCCAAAGAACUGGAGGCUCGGGUGAUUAUCCUCUCCGCAAGCGAGGACGAUGCCACCACCGUGUAUAUGGCAGCAGCCAAAGAAAACAUGACCGGUCCGGGUUACGUAUGGCUGGUGGGAGAAAGGGAGAUCUCAGGCAACGCCUUGCGCAAUGCGCCAGAAGGACUGAUUGGUUUACAGCUCAUGAACGGGAAGAACGAAUCUGCUCAUAUCAGAGACGCAGUCGCUGUGGUGGCACAGGCUGUACAUGACUUGUUUGAGAAGGAGAACAUCACUGACCCUCCCCGGGGCUGUGUGGGGAACACUAACAUCUGGAAGACGGGGCCCCUCUUCAAAAGGGUGCUGAUGCAGACCAAAUAUGCAGAAGGCGUGACUGGCAGGGUAGAGUUUAAUGAAGACGGGGACAGGAAAUAUGCCAACUAUAGUGUCAUGAAUCUCCAGAACAACAAACUGGUGCAGGUCGGAGUCUACAACGGGAGCCACUUUCUGCCCAAUGACCGAAAGAUCGUCUGGCCGGGAGGGGAAACAGAAACUCCGCAGGGCUACGAGAUGUCCACAAAACUAAAGAUAGUCACAAUCCAUCAGGAGCCAUUUGUCUACGUGAAGCCCACCCUGGCCGACGGGAAGUGCAAGCCGCUGCUCAACAGCACGGGGGGACUGGUGCAGCAGGUGCUCUGUACUGGGCCCAACGAGACCUUGCCAGGACGCCCCAGCGUAAUGUUAUGUUGUUAUGGCUUCUGCAUCGACUUACUCAUCAAGCUUGCGAAGACAAUGAAUUUUACCUACGAAGUUCAUCUAGUGGGUGACGGUAAAUUUGGCACACAAGAACGGGUGAACAACAGCAACAAGAAGGAGUGGAACGGGAUGAUGGGGGAGCUGCUGAGUGGCCAGGCUGACAUGAUUGUGGCACCACUAACCAUUAACAAUGAGCGGGCUCAGUAUAUUGAGUUUUCCAAGCCUUUUAAGUACCAAGGACUGACCAUCCUCGUCAAGAAGGAAAUUCCCCGCAGCACUCUGGAUUCAUUCAUGCAACCAUUCCAGAGCACAUUAUGGCUCCUGGUGGGGCUGUCGGUGCACGUGGUGGCCGUGAUGUUAUAUCUACUGGACCGUUUCAGUCCCUUUGGCCGAUUCAAAGUGAACAGUGAAGAAGAGGAAGAGGACGCUCUGACGCUUUCAUCGGCUAUGUGGUUUUCCUGGGGGGUCCUUCUGAAUUCUGGCAUCGGAGAAGGUGCCCCAAGAAGUUUCUCAGCUCGGAUCCUUGGCAUGGUCUGGGCUGGUUUUGCCAUGAUUAUCGUGGCCUCCUACACUGCCAACCUGGCUGCUUUCCUGGUGUUAGACCGACCAGAGGAACGGAUCACCGGCAUCAACGAUCCUCGGUUGCGAAACCCUUCGGAUAAGUUCAUCUAUGCCACCGUGAAGCAGAGCUCGGUAGACAUUUAUUUCCGGAGGCAGGUGGAGCUAAGCACCAUGUACCGGCACAUGGAGAAACACAAUUACGAAAGUGCUGCUGAAGCCAUUCAGGCUGUUCGGGACAACAAGCUCCACGCCUUCAUCUGGGACUCGGCUGUACUAGAAUUUGAAGCCUCGCAGAAGUGUGACCUGGUGACUACAGGGGAGCUUUUCUUCCGCUCCGGCUUCGGCAUUGGAAUGCGCAAAGACAGUCCCUGGAAACAGAACGUCUCUCUGGCCAUCCUCAACCUCCACGAGAAUGGCUUCAUGGAAGAACUUGACAAGACUUGGGUGAGAUAUCAGGAGUGUGAUUCCCGCAGCAAUGCUCCGGCAACACUCACCUUCGAAAACAUGGCAGGUGUAUUCAUGCUGGUGGCUGGAGGUAUUGUGGCCGGGAUAUUUUUAAUAUUCAUAGAAAUAGCAUACAAAAGGCAUAAAGACGCCCGGAGGAAACAGAUGCAACUGGCGUUCGCGGCAGUUAAUGUGUGGCGGAAAAAUCUGCAGUCCUCUCUCUCUCUUGUGGCCGUAGGAUUCACCUUCAGAAAAGGCCCUGAGCAUUUUUAUUUAGUGGAUAGAAAAAGUGGUAGAGCAGAACCAGACCCUAAAAAGAAAGCCACUUUUAGGUCCAUCACCUCUACCCUGGCCUCCAGCUUCAAGAGACGUAGGUCAUCCAAAGACACGACAGCCCCGCGAUGUCACCACGCCCAGCAUCCGUGAGCUGCAGUGCAGAUAGCCCUGUAGAGACUCCCGGCUUCAGGAGCUGCUCAGCACAGGCAGUAUCACCCCACAGACAUCACUGGGCAACUCAAUCUCUCUGACCCCUCGGUCAGCACCGUGGUGUGAGAUCUAGGGACGGACCAAUGGAGACUCCGAGGGCCCUUCUGGAGACACCAAAGGGAAGCCUUUGACAUCCACCCACGGCGCCUGCAUUGCUUUCUUCCCUCCGGCCCCAAUAGAUCCCUGCUUCCUCCAAGGGUGACCAAUCUCACUUGUGGCCUUGGAAUGAACUACUGAACACCAGGAGGCCUGGGAGCACCUCCGUUUUUCCUAGAGUGUGGCCUCCAUUUACUUCUCCUCCAAGACACGCAGAGAAGGUAGUUCUGAGGGAGACGCCCACCCAGGAGAGGAUGGAUGGCACAUUCAGUGAAGCGGACCGGGUCUCUUGCCGAGGGGAAGAGUCUCGUCAUCAUUCCAUGCAUGCACAGAACUCAAGCCCGCCUUACUUCACAUGACUGUUUCUAGACUGUAUCAGGGGUCUGUGAAGAGGCCCCCCAGCCCCCCAGCUCAUGGUUCUCUUUGUUUAUAUAUAGCAUUCUGUAAAAAAGACCUGCUGGUCCACCACCUCCCACCCAGAGAGCCCUGUGGCCCCUUUUUUUUUAGGCUGCUACCGUGAAGGUGCCAGUGUUCCCUCAGGACACCCAAGGUUUUCUCUGAUGGGAGGGGGGACUCUCCCCAUCUCUCUCUGCUUUGACUACUUCUUAGCUCGUUUGUGAAAGAGAGUUUUAGCCAACCCCUUCCACGCCUCACACCUGGUAAAGCAACAUUUCCAGCAGGACGGGAAGUUCCCAGCUUCUCUGCAACUCUUUGCUGGCUGUUGAUCCAAAUCUCCAGCUCUGCUCCUCUUCUGCAGAAGUGCUUUCCAGUCUCUGCCCCGGACGGACAGCCAGCGCUGACCCCUUUGCUCCUCUCCUAGGCUGGGAUCAAGGGGAGCCUUGGAGUUGUUCCUCUCUUCUCACAUGUUUUAUGGCUACAUGCAUGGAGAUUUGUAACAAAUCUCUCUGGCAAACAAGCCCCUGCCAAGAUCUGCUAGCCUUUUAGACCGAGAGGGUCCUGAUUUUUUCCUCCCCUGGCCUCAGAACACCAUGCCCCCAACCGAAUAUCCUGUGGUCCAACCUGUGCCACUGCCUUCUGGAAAGAAAGCCAGGCCUCCUGGCUCUCCAGCUGAGAGUUGUGUUGGUUCCAGAGUUUCCAUCUCUGACCCUGAUUGAUCCUCACAAUAUUUUUCAUUCUCCCACUCAGGAGGACCAAAGUACCAGCCUUAUCACUACUCCAGCAGCUCUCUGCCACGUAACACUGGCCUGUCUUCUAGGAUGGUUAUGAGUUUGACUGAGGUAACCCUAUAAAAAUAUUCUUCUGGUGUUAAACUGGAACCCCAAAUCCGUUUUUGCAAUUGUGGAUGCAGAAUCUCAAGAUUUAAGAUAAUCCCACUUUGCCCAAAGAUUAUAUGCUCUGUCGAGAAGCAGAAGCACCCUUAAUCUACUCCCCUCCAUGCCGCAAGGUCAGAGCCCAGGGCAGGCUGCAGGCAGGAGGGGCAGGCCCGGAGGCCUGGGGAGCUCUGAGCGAGCGAGGCCAGGGUGUCACUCUGACGCUGCUUGUGAGAGUCGGCAAACCUGAUUCCGCACAGUUCACAUUGCAGCUGCCCAGGGGACUCGAGUAUGGUUAGCAAAGUAGUGCCAACUUGGGGUGCCUCUCAAGAACUCCCAACCUGGAGGAGGCACCUCAACACAUGACCACGGCCUUCUCCUACACCCCCCCCACCCCCAUUGUACCCUUCAACCUGGAUCCUAAUUUACCAAGCUGGCCUGUGUGCACCCACACGCAUUCUGUACAUGCUUACUCAGAAGUAGGGCCCAUUGCAUUCCCUGGGACCUUCUCCUAGGUAAGUAGAGAUGGAACUGUAAUUCUAACUAGAGUUUUUGAAAUAAAGCAUAAGACUUUGGACAGGUGCCCAGAGCCGCACUGAAGAAGCAGUGUUCAAUAAUUAAGAGUUAUCAUACAUAUGUAUAGUUCUGCUGUGGGUUUUUGUAAUAGUGAAUUUAAAUCCAUUACUUUAAAAUGACAUAUUCUUGCCUGUGUGUGUGUGCAUGUGUACCUGCAAGGACUCUUAUCCCAAAGGUGCUUUUUUUUCCAAGAGGCAACUGGGCUUUCUGGUUUUUCUUUGAAGAUGUUUCGCUUCUCAUCCAAGAAGCUUCUUCUUAAAGGUCCAGUUGCCUCUUGAAAAAGCACCUUUGGGAUAACUGAGACCUGGAUGACUGAGAAUCGCCACAAACAUUUUGCAAGGACACUUCUUUACUUAAAUUCACGGCGAAGAGGAAAAAUAAGAGGCAGCAGCCUAUAUUUCCCUUCCUCACUCUGAACUUAAAUAAAAUUUCCUCAAAGACUC
Pantherophis guttatus is the source of this 5399-nucleotide RNA transcript. It is a transcript of the gene named glutamate ionotropic receptor NMDA type subunit 1, with no coding region annotated. The record is from RefSeq and is a predicted model, not a curated record. Lineage: Eukaryota; Metazoa; Chordata; Lepidosauria; Squamata; Colubridae.